GACGAACGCUGGCGGCGUGCUUAACACAUGCAAGUCGAACGCUGAAGCUCAGCUUUUGUUGGGUGGAUGAGUGGCGAACGGGUGAGUAACACGUGAGUAACCUGCCUCCUUCUUUGGGAUAACGCCCGGAAACGGGUGCUAAUACUGGAUAUUCACUGGUCUUCGCAUGGGGGUUGGUGGAAAGGGUUUUUCUGGUGGGGGAUGGGCUCGCGGCCUAUCAGCUUGGUGGUGGGGUGAUGGCCUACCAAGGCUUUGACGGGUAGCCGGCCUGAGAGGGUGACCGGUCACAUUGGGACUGAGAUACGGCCCAGACUCCGACGGGAGGCAGCAGUGGGGAAGAUUGCACAAUGGGCGCAAGCCUGAUGCAGCGACGCCGCGUGAGGGAUGGAGGCCUUCGGGUUGUGAACCUCUUUCGCUCAUGGUCAAGCCGAAACAAUGGUUGUGGUGAGGGUAGUGGGUAAAGAAGCGCCGGCUAACUACGUG
This 483-nucleotide ribosomal RNA is filed under the name uncultured bacterium. RNAcentral describes it as "partial 16S ribosomal RNA". It matches the Rfam family "Bacterial small subunit ribosomal RNA", at positions 28 to 507 of the family's 1533-position model. The record is from RNAcentral.